ACGACCUUAGUUGAACAGAAUCUGUUCUAUAGGCUCGUACCUCUGUGUCCUUGAGUUCUAAGGAGACAGGAUUCCUUGUCUGGUUGAUGAAUGGACGCUGUGUGAUCAGAGCGUGACUAUUGGCCUGGUGUUUCUAGAUGAUGAGCUCACCUUGACCGCCGAUGAUCGUUCUCAGCUAGCUUUGACUAGCUGAGGUGGUCGUGCAGCUGUCUGACAGACU
Hibiscus syriacus is the source of this 220-nucleotide small nucleolar RNA. RefSeq annotates it as small nucleolar RNA U3. The transcript has a single exon. NCBI's taxonomy places the organism in Eukaryota, Viridiplantae, Streptophyta, Magnoliopsida, Malvales, Malvaceae. The record is from RefSeq and is a predicted model, not a curated record.